Molecule: long non-coding RNA, 725 nt
Organism: Actinia tenebrosa (Australian red waratah sea anemone)
Lineage: Eukaryota; Metazoa; Cnidaria; Anthozoa; Actiniaria; Actiniidae
Source: RefSeq, a predicted model, not a curated record
AUUUUCUAGAAGUUGGACACAAGUGAGCACUUAGGAUAUUUUUGUACUGAUUGACUGCAUCUCUUGAUGGUGCUGCAUCAUCUGACAAGGCUUUGCAGGACAACAGCUUGGUUGAUGUCACAGGGUCAUCACCAGGUUACCACAUCAAUUAUCAUCUUGACAGUGAGGUCAAUACUCAUACAUUAAGCUUGCUGGUUGGCGUGUAUAUAUUGGUUAGAGUCAAGGUGCAGUGUGGCUAUCAGGCUCAGAUGUCAAGAAACGACGGCCAUCUUGUUACAGGCUCAAUCGACGGUUUUACGAAGAAAUAAAAAGUUGGAUUUUCAGGGUYUAAAGUUARCACGUGUUAUGGCGGACGAAGCCGCCAAAAAGUCCAUCAUGUAUUUGCACCCGUUGAAACACAUCCACAACGAACAGCAGCGUGCAACAAAUGAAGAGGUGACAUGCUCAGGGACUGGAUACUAGCAUUUUACACAGGGAUCCCGCAAAAACCGGACUUCUUGGCGAAAAAAUAUUAAAAAUUUGGCAGCUUUCGGGCAAUAUUUUUUGCCCAAAACGUAUAAAAUGGGUAGAAAAGAUCAUUUUAGGACUUUACGGAGGGUAAAAYCCGAGGAAAACCCCUUUUUUAAACGAAAAAGUACAAUAUGUUAAUUAGUCACGUGACAAGUCACGUGACCUYMAAUUUUGUGAUUUUGGGGUUGGUUUUUCACUUUUUUUUAGACAAAAAA